This 253-nucleotide ribosomal RNA is filed under the name uncultured bacterium. Its description in RNAcentral is "partial 16S ribosomal RNA". It matches the Rfam family "Bacterial small subunit ribosomal RNA", at positions 524 to 776 of the family's 1533-position model. The record is from RNAcentral.
UACGUAGGGUGCGAGCGUUGUCCGGAAUUAUUGGGCGGAAAGGGCUCGUAGGCGGUUUGUCGCGUCGGGAGUGAAAACCAGGUGCUUAACACCUGGCUUGCUUUCGAUACGGGCAGACUAGAGGUAUGCAGGGGAGAACGGAAUUCCUGGUGUAGCGGUGAAAUGCGCAGAUAUCAGGAGGAACACCGGUGGCGAAGGCGGUUCUCUGGGCAUGACCUGACGCUGAGGAGCGAAAGUGUGGGGAGCGAACAGG